CAAGGCAAAAAGUGCAGAAUCAGGAAAUGAGUCAAUAACAAGAUCAGAAGAGUCAACUCCCUGUGUGCCUUCAGGUAGCUGACCACUUUAG
Neltuma alba is the source of this 91-nucleotide long non-coding RNA. RefSeq lists it as uncharacterized. The record is from RefSeq and is a predicted model, not a curated record. Lineage: Eukaryota; Viridiplantae; Streptophyta; Magnoliopsida; Fabales; Fabaceae. The transcript is spliced from 3 exons.